RNAcentral lists this ribosomal RNA (254 nucleotides) under uncultured bacterium. Its description in RNAcentral is "partial 16S ribosomal RNA". It matches the Rfam family "Bacterial small subunit ribosomal RNA", at positions 524 to 776 of the family's 1533-position model. RNAcentral also lists the same sequence under 1 other name. The record is from RNAcentral.
UACGUAGGGCGCAAGCGUUGUCCGGAAUUAUUGGGCGUAAAGAGCUCGUAGGCGGUUUGUCGCGUCUGCCGUGAAAACCCGAGGCUUAACCUCGUGGCUUGCGGUGGAUACGGGCAGACUAGAGGUAGGUAGGGGAGAAUGGAAUUCCCGGUGUAGCGGUGAAAUGCGCAGAUAUCGGGAGGAACACCGGUGGCGAAGGCGGUUCUCUGGGCCUUACCUGACGCUGAGGAGCGAAAGCGUGGGGAGCGAACAGG